RNAcentral lists this ribosomal RNA (459 nucleotides) under uncultured bacterium. RNAcentral's name for it is "partial 16S ribosomal RNA". It matches the Rfam family "Bacterial small subunit ribosomal RNA", at positions 338 to 795 of the family's 1533-position model. The record is from RNAcentral.
CCUACGGGAGGCAGCAGUGAGGAAUAUUGGUCAAUGGGCGGGAGCCUGAACCAGCCAAGCCGCGUGAGGGAAGAAGGUACAGCGUAUCGUAAACCUCUUUUGUCAGGGAACAAAGGCGGGGACUAGUCCCCGGCUGAGGGUACCUGAAGAACAAGCAUCGGCUAACUCCGUGCCAGCAGCGGCGGUAAUACGGAGGAUGCGAGCGUUAUCCGGAUUUAUUGGGUUUAAAGGGUGCGCAGGCGGCCUGGUAAGUCAGCGGUAAAAGCCCGGGGCUCAACCCCGGCGAGCCGUUGAAACUGGCGGGCUGGAGUUGGAGAGAAGUACGCGGAAUGCGCGGUGUAGCGGUGAAAUGCUUAGAUAUCGCGCAGAACCCCGAUUGCGAAGGCAGCGUACCGGCUCCACACUGACGCUGAGGCACGAAAGCGUAGGUAUCGAACAGGAUUAGAUACCCUAGUAGUC